UACGAAGGGGGCUAGCGUUGCUCGGAAUCACUGGGCGUAAAGCGCACGUAGGCGGCUUUUUAAGUCAGGGGUGAAAUCCUGGAGCUCAACUCCAGAACUGCCUUUGAUACUGGGAAGCUUGAGUCCGGGAGAGGUGAGUGGAAUUCCCGGUGUAGCGGUGAAAUGCGCAGAUAUCGGGAAGAACACCCGUGGCGAAGGCGGCUCUCUGGGACGGUACUGACGCUGAGACGCGAAAGCGUGGGGAGCGAACAGG
Molecule: ribosomal RNA, 253 nt
Filed under: uncultured bacterium
Lineage: Bacteria
Description: partial 16S ribosomal RNA
Rfam family: Bacterial small subunit ribosomal RNA
Source: RNAcentral